GGACUGAGUCCUAAAGGGUGAGACGGGCUGGCAUGGGAGGUCUGAGGGAACAGUGUGCCAGGCAGAGGGAACAGCAGGUGAAGAGACCGAGGGGAGGAAACAGGUCUUGAGAAUCGGAGGACUAGAAACGAGGCCAGCGUGUGUGAGUCAUAAGGCAUAAGAGUGGUUGGAGAUGGGGACAUGGAAAGACUUCGCAAAGCAUCGAGUGGGCCAGAAGGAGAAGGGAAUGGUGUUGUCAUUGUGAGUUAUUACUGCAGUGACAGUGGGCUUUGUGUCCAGCCCUAGAUUCCAGAGACGAGGAGGACCUUCCCACCCGUUCACUUCAGGAAGACCAUGAACCUUCCCCCUUGCAUCGCCAUUGGCUGAAUCAGGUCGGCUCUGCUGGCUGCAGACUCGUUCUCUGUUUAUCAAAGGCUGUAGCAGGUGCAUUAAAACGUAUCAGCCCAGCCCCAGGCAGAUGGAGGCGACACGGAGAGCUUGGAAUCGAAAGGAGCUGCUGAUCACCGUGACCCCAAGAUACACCUGCUUUCUCUUUGUUAAGGAAUUAGACACGAUACUUUCAUCUUUAAAAACAGAUCAAAGAAAGGAAGGAAGGUAGGAAGGAAGGAAGAAAAUGCCUGCAAAUCCUUGGUCGUACAUACUUUCUGGUGUUUGACAUCUCCCAGACGUGGUUUGAACUUUGAACAGUCUUAUGGAAAAUUUGAGAUCGUGUAAGAACGGGCUCACCGCUCUCCCCCGACACUGUAACAGGAACUCAUACUGAUAUUGGCUUAUUAAGUUACAAAGCAUGUGGGUUCCCAUCAGUCAACAGGUGAGUCAGCAAUCCAAAGAGGUCUCCAAGGACCGGAUUCUUUCCAUCUUGGCGUUGUCUUCUGAGUGGACUUCUUUCUGCCCGAGGGAGGAGACCCUCCUGGGGACUGAGGGUCACGUGGGUUCAGAAGAAGCAAUCAGGCCGAGGAAAGCUUUGGAAGCUUCCUUAAAGGAGCAAGCAGGAAGUUUUCUAGAAAACUCCAGCAAACCCUUUCUGGAAUCUCCUUGGCCCCAACUGCAUCACAUGUGUGUUCUUGACCAAAUCACUGCCCAGGAAAACGGCUGGAGUCAGCCCGUCACAGGCCCGUGGAAUGUGAGGGGGACAGGGGCUUCACGAGAAGCCAAGGACCCUUCCUGGGGAGGGCUGGUCGUGGAUGCAGUGGGCAGUCAGUGAUACCCACCGGCUGCCUAGGAAAACCAGCCUCAUCCACCAGCCUCACUGAAGGCAAACUCUGUUUUCUUCUCCUUACCGCUCGCAUCGAACACUUCUUCCCACACCCCCCAAUUCUGCAGCACAGCUGGGUGUACUGCAAUUCAGUUCAGUUCCGACACUGUCCGCUCUGAGUUAGCGUCAGACCCCACAGGCCAAGGGCUCAGUCCCACAAGACCCCACAGGCCAAGGGCUCAGUCCCACAAGACCACCCCAUUUCAGACGCUAAUCACAAGUCCUAGGAUGUCACCGGGACUUCUGGCCUACAGGCUGUAAUUUGGGGUUCCCGGGGCCACACUUUGUUGGAUUUGAUAAUCUGCUAGAAUGGACAGAACUCGGGGAAAUACUUCCUUUUGUUUACCAGUUUAUUACAAAGGAUAUAGGAAAGGAUACAGGUGAACAGUGAGAGGAAGAGACACAUAAGGAAGGGUCUGGAAAGGUCCUGAGUGCGGGCACUUCUGUCCUUGUACCCCAUCCCCCCCGCCUGUGGAUGUGUUCACCAGCCCAGAUGCUCUCUGAACCCCAUAGUUUAGGGAUUUUUAUGGAGGCUUUAUCACAUAGGCAUGAUCCGUUAUCAGCUUACGCUGAAAGUUCCAGACUGCUAAUCUUGGCUUGGUCUUUCUGGUGACCAGCUGCCAUCCAGGAGGCCACCAAGAGUCGCUUCAUUAGAACAGAAGACACUCCUAUCGCCCAGGAAAUUCCAAGGGAUUUAGGAGCUCCGUGUCAGAAAGAAGAUCAAAGGUCAAAUGUUAGGACGAACCAGGGAGACCAUUUUCACAUACCCCUUCUUCCCUAGGGGCUGGUGUCUGAUCCUCGAAAGUAAUUUCACAGAUGUGGAAAUAGAGACGCGGAAAAGCGAUAACUCAUCCAAGUUCCCACAGCCAGCGAGUAACGGAGCUGAGCUUCGAGUCCAUGCAGCUUCCCUUGGGACCCCCUCCUUCCUCUUCUGCGGGUGGAGGUCACAAGUACCCUGCUGGGGAAAUCGAGGGCUGAGUCCUCAUAUGUCACAGCGGCCUGUUGGCAACCAAUGUCCCAUGCCGUCAGAGGUAGAUGUGGAGCGAAUGUACCUCCCAU
Molecule: long non-coding RNA, 2314 nt
Organism: Leopardus geoffroyi (Geoffroy's cat)
Lineage: Eukaryota; Metazoa; Chordata; Mammalia; Carnivora; Felidae
Exons: 3
Source: RefSeq, a predicted model, not a curated record